This is a long non-coding RNA of Cyprinus carpio (common carp), 502 nucleotides long. RefSeq lists it as uncharacterized. The record is from RefSeq and is a predicted model, not a curated record. Lineage: Eukaryota; Metazoa; Chordata; Actinopteri; Cypriniformes; Cyprinidae. The transcript has 2 exons.
UGCUGGCAGGGAAUGUGACGCCUGCGCGGUAUCAGUCUGAAGCUAUGUCUUGGCGCGGUUCGGUGUCUUGUGGAUGCCGCGGGUGACAUCCGCCCAUUCAGCCCACAGAACAGACGCGAGUCCGUGACCCUGCACACCUCCUCACCAGCCAAAAGAGAACUUGCCUUAACCAGAUAUGAGCCGGGCUCCACUGAGCAUGCCCAAUAGUGUCGGCCCUGCGUUAUGGCCACAUCACCCACAAGCAGAUCAGCUGUCAGGUGACAGGAAGUGAGGGCACGAUCGGCGUCCUGCAGCAGGGAGAGACCGGGCACACUGCGAGCACACCUCUGCUCCUUACUCACCACCAGUCUGUCCGCGUGCAGACCCCAACGAGAGUCCAGGUAAAAAUUCAACACUGUCAGGGAGGCGGAAGGAAGAUAACAGCGAGGGAAUACAGGAGAAAUUUUUAAGAGGAAGAGGGGAAAGAGUAUUAAGGCACCAAAAGGAGGGACGCAAGAGUGGG